RNAcentral lists this transfer RNA (77 nucleotides) under Idiomarinaceae bacterium. RNAcentral's name for it is "tRNA-Met". It matches the Rfam family "tRNA". Rfam says of the family: Transfer RNA (tRNA) molecules are approximately 80 nucleotides in length. Their secondary structure includes four short double-helical elements and three loops (D, anti-codon, and T loops). The record is from RNAcentral. Lineage: Bacteria; Pseudomonadati; Pseudomonadota; Gammaproteobacteria; Alteromonadales; Idiomarinaceae.
GGCUACGUAGCUCAGCUGGUUAGAGCACAGCACUCAUAAUGCUGGGGUCGCANGUUCGAAUCNCGCCGUAGCCACCA